Molecule: ribosomal RNA, 380 nt
Filed under: Aspronema dorsivittatum (Paraguay mabuya)
Lineage: Eukaryota; Metazoa; Chordata; Lepidosauria; Squamata; Scincidae
Description: partial 12S ribosomal RNA
Rfam family: Bacterial small subunit ribosomal RNA
Source: RNAcentral
GCUUAGCCCUAAACAUAGACAAUACUAACACAAUAUUGUCCGCCAGAGAACUACAAGUGAAAAACUGGAAACUCUAAGGACUUGGCGGUACCCCACAUCAGCCUAGAGGAGCCUGUCCUAUAAUCGAUAAUCCACGCUGUACCUUACCAUUUCUAGAAACUCAGCCUAUAUACCGCCGUCGAAAGCUUACCCUAUGAAAGAAACAAAGUAAGCAAAAUAGUUAAUAACUAAAACGUCAGGUCAAGGUGUAGCACAUGAAAUGGAAGAGAUGGGCUACAUUUUCUACUUCAGAAAAUACGAACAGCACAAUGAAAUCUAUGCUCAAAGGCGGAUUUAGUAGUAAGGUAAAAAAGACAUUUUACCUUAAACCCGCUCUGGGG